UUUUGACCCUUACCCAAUAAGACAAAUGACCCAUAUGAAAUUUUGUCCGAUCAGUUAAUUGACCCAUGUGAAAUUUAAAAAUACAAGAAUUUAGGUUUAUAUACAUAAUAUUGGGUCUAAAAUAAUUUCUUUUAAGUAAAUACUAAGGCUUUAGACUUUUUUUUGGCGUAGCUUUAGGUUUAGGCUUAUGUAUUUUUUUUUCUUAAAUGAUGACCCGG
This 218-nucleotide long non-coding RNA is filed under the name Capsella rubella. RNAcentral's name for it is "long non-coding RNA (CRUB_LNC004177)". Lineage: Eukaryota; Viridiplantae; Streptophyta; Magnoliopsida; Brassicales; Brassicaceae. The record is from RNAcentral.